RNAcentral lists this ribosomal RNA (270 nucleotides) under uncultured bacterium. RNAcentral describes it as "partial 16S ribosomal RNA". It matches the Rfam family "Bacterial small subunit ribosomal RNA", at positions 29 to 286 of the family's 1533-position model. The record is from RNAcentral.
AGCGAACGCUGGCGGCGUGCUUAACACAUGCAAGUCGAGUGCGCAGUCUUCUGUAGCAAUACAGGAGGCCGGCGCACGGCGCACGGGUGAGGAACACGUGGGCAACCUACCCUCCAAUGGGGGAUACCCCCGCGAAAGCGGGUCUAAUACCGCAUGAUAUUCCGGGAACGCAUGUUCCUGGAUUCAAAGUCCGCAAGGACGUUGGAGGAGGGGCCCGCGCCCGAUUAGCUUGUUGGCGAGGUAACGGCUCACCAAGGCUAUGAUCGGUAG